Molecule: ribosomal RNA, 253 nt
Filed under: uncultured bacterium
Lineage: Bacteria
Description: partial 16S ribosomal RNA
Rfam family: Bacterial small subunit ribosomal RNA
Source: RNAcentral
UACGUAGGGUGCAAGCGUUGUCCGGAAUUAUUGGGCGUAAAGGGCUCGUAGGCGGUCUGUCGCGUCGGGCGUGAAAACUCAGGGCUUAACCCUGAGCCUGCUUCCGAUACGGGCAGACUAGAGGUAUGCAGGGGAGAAUGGAAUUCCUGGUGUAGCGGUGAAAUGCGCAGAUAUCAGGAGGAACACCGGUGGCGAAGGCGGUUCUCUGGGCAUUACCUGACGCUGAGGAGCGAAAGUGUGGGGAGCGAACAGG